Molecule: ribosomal RNA, 1022 nt
Filed under: Heterostelium gloeosporum
Lineage: Eukaryota; Evosea; Eumycetozoa; Acytosteliales; Acytosteliaceae
Description: eukaryotic LSU rRNA
Rfam family: 5.8S ribosomal RNA (bases 211-372)
Source: RNAcentral
CGUAGGUGAACCUGCGGAUGGAUCAUUUCAUAAAAAAAACAAGAACAAAAAAAGUCUUUAAUUAGACUUGCUCGACGCUAAUAAUUUAUUGGAAUCUAGGUUUCUUUAAAUUUGCCGUCGAGUAUCUCAAAUUAUUUAGUAUGUCAAAUUUAAUUGUAGUUGUAUGAUAGUCUUAGUUUAACUAAUUCUUGAAUUCAAUGAUUUGUAAGUAAGCAUAAAUGGUGGAUACCUCGGCUCCUAAAUCGAUGAAGACCGUAGCAAACUGCGAUAAGUCAGACCUGAUGCAGACACUGGUGAAGUCGAACUGUUGAACGCACAUGAUGAUAUUGAUCCUUUUACCGGGCAUUAAAUAUCACACUUGGUUGAGAGUCGCAUCUCAUUAUUAUUUAUAAUUUCUUAUUUUUAAUAGGAAAUUUAUAAAGUAUUGAGAAAGUAUUCCUGGACAAUCAAUUGGAAUACUUUCUUUAAAUAUUAGAAAAAAAGAUUGUCAGGUAUGAAAAUUAAUUUGGUUAACUCCAAUUAAUAUCCAAUAGAUCCAAUUUAAUUUUAUAGUUUCCAAUUCAUUUUGGAGCGACUAUUUAAAUUUUAUUAGUUUCUGUUUAAUACCAAUUUGACUGACUAACUUAAUGAAGCUAAUUGCUUUCUUUAUUUUUUCAUUCAACAACUAUUAGUCGAUAGAAGAUUUACUAUCAAUGAAAGUUUAAUCACCAAAUUGAAAAGUUUUACUUUCCAAAAGGUUAAACAAGUAAUUUUUGAUGCAUCUUUGUGUAAUCUAUUAGUUGGGAAAAAUAAAAUGGUAAUUCAAUUUCCACAAAGUCUGUUCCAGUCAAGUUUAUUAAACAUUAAGGAAACUUUUAAAAUUUUUAUAAGUUGUCAAUUAUGGCUAUUAAAUUUUAUUGUAUACCUUCUAAAAAUCUAUGGAUUCCAAGUUGAAAUAAUACUUUACUUCCAAAAGAAGUACUGACUAAAUUAUUUUAACUAUAAAAAACAUUACAAACAGCGACAUCAGCCAAGCGAGAUUA